CAAGGAAUAUUGCACAAUGGGGGGAACCCUGAUGCAGCAACGCCGCGUGGGCGAUGAAGGCCUUCGGGUUGUAAAGCCCUUUUCUAGAGGAAGAGACAAGGACGGUACUUUAGGAAUAAGUCUCGGCUAACUACGUGCCAGCAGCCGCGGUAAAACGUAGGAGACGAGCGUUAUCCGGAUUUACUGGGCGUAAAGGGCAAGUAGGCGGUAAGCAAAGUUGGGCGUGACAUCUCUCGGCUUAACUGGGAGGGGUCGUCCAAAACUAGCUAACUAGAGGGCAGGAGAGGGGAGUGGAAUUCCUAGUGUAGCGGUGGAAUGCUUAGAUAUUAGGAAGAACACCAGUGGCGAAGGCGACUCUCUGGCCUGACCCUGACGCUGAGAGGCGAAAGCUAGGGGAGCGAACGGG
Molecule: ribosomal RNA, 406 nt
Filed under: uncultured bacterium
Lineage: Bacteria
Description: bacterial SSU rRNA
Rfam family: Bacterial small subunit ribosomal RNA
Source: RNAcentral